This 419-nucleotide ribosomal RNA is filed under the name Alphomelon sp. 'A.R. Deans'. Its description in RNAcentral is "partial 16S large subunit ribosomal RNA". The record is from RNAcentral. Lineage: Eukaryota; Metazoa; Arthropoda; Insecta; Hymenoptera; Braconidae.
GUCUUAAAGAAUUUUAAUUUUAAGUCAAAUCUGCUCAAUGAAUUAUUAUUUAAAUAGCUGCAGUAUCAAUAACUGUACAAAGGUAGCAUAAUAAUUUGUUUUUUAAUUUAAAACUAGAAUGAAUGAUUUUAUGAAAUAUAAACUGUCUCAAAUUAAAUAAAUAAAUUUAUUUUUUAAGUUAAAAAACUUAAAUUUUUUUUAAAGACGAAAAGACCCUAAGAAUUUUUAUAUUUAAUUUUUAUAUUUCAUUAAAUAAAAUUAAAUAAUUUAAUUGGGGAAAUUUUAAAAUUUAAUUAAUUUUUAAUUAAUAAAAACAAUUAUUUUUGUAUAAUUACAAAUUUUUAAAAAAAUAAAAUUAAAUUACCUUAGGGAUAACAGCAUAAUUUUUUUUUAAAGUUCAAAUUAAUAAUAAAGUUUAU